UAAUACGGAGGGUGCGAGCGUUGUUCGGAAUCACUGGGCGUAAAGGGCGUGUAGGCGGUCCGCUAAGUCUGAUGUGAAAGCCCGGGGCUCACCCCCGGAAGGGCAUUGGAAACUGACGGACUCGAGUCCCGAAGAGGAGGGUGGAAUUCCUGGUGUAGCGGUGAAAUGCGUAGAUAUCAGGAGGAACACCGGUGGCGAAGGCGGCCCUCUGGACGGUGACUGACGCUGAGACGCGAAAGCGUGGGGAGCAAACAGGAUUAGAUACCCUGGUAGUCCACGCUGUAAACGAUGAGCACUAGGUGUCGUGGGUAUUGACCCCCGCGGUGCCGUAGCUAACGCAUUAAGUGCUCCGCCUGGGGACUACGGCCGCAAGGCUA
RNAcentral lists this ribosomal RNA (377 nucleotides) under uncultured bacterium. RNAcentral's name for it is "bacterial SSU rRNA". It matches the Rfam family "Bacterial small subunit ribosomal RNA", at positions 521 to 896 of the family's 1533-position model. The record is from RNAcentral.